This is a long non-coding RNA of Cannabis sativa, 1072 nucleotides long. RefSeq lists it as uncharacterized. NCBI's taxonomy places the organism in Eukaryota, Viridiplantae, Streptophyta, Magnoliopsida, Rosales, Cannabaceae. The record is from RefSeq and is a predicted model, not a curated record. The transcript is spliced from 2 exons.
UUAAGUUUGUAUGUGGGCAGAUGGUGGAAGCAACCCAAAAAUUGAAGUGGGAGAAAAACUUGCUAGCUUUUCUGAGUUAGCUCUUUACUGAAAAUCCCUUAGGAUCAAAUGUAUUUAAUAUACAUGGGAUGUUAAGUACUAAGUAGACCUCUUUUUGUAUGGACAAGCUCUAGUCUUAAUUAGUUUGGAUUUGUUUAUCAUCUAUUAAUAUUAUUAAGUAAAGGUUUGUCGUUUGUAAUGUAAUUAUUGUUUUUGUUUUAAAUAUAUUGUCGUUUUUUGGAUCAAACAUUUAUGAUUGUCAAAUGAGAAACAUUGUCGUUGAUAGUUGUUUUUUUGUCAUUUUGGGACUAAAAUGUUACUGUCGUUUGUAAAUGGCUGGGGUGUUCAAAAUUUUCACAUAAAAUUAAUAGAGAAAUUUACACUAAGUGGUUUUUUUUUCCAAUAUUAAACAUUUAUGCUUGCUCUAUCUUUUUUUUACUUUGGGGUUUUUUCUUUAAUACUAUUUACAAAGUUUGAUAUUUACAAUUAUACAAUUUAUACUAUUUUUCCUUCUUCCUCCUAUUCACACAGAUCCACUUCAAAAGGCAACCAUCUCCACCAUUUCCAUCUCACAUCCAACCUCUCUCGAUCGUCUCCAGCUCUCUUGUCCCAGCCCUCGAUGUCAAGCAAAACAUCUACUCAACCUUCUAUGUUGUGGUCUAGGGAGAAAGAGAGACUUUUUUCAGAUUUAUUUCCCUCUUGAUCAAGCCAUCUCCCUCUUUUUCAAACUUAUUUUUAGUGCUAUUAAUAUUUUUUGAAGCUUCGAUUUUUGAAUGCAAGAAACUUGACUUCCAGUGAUGAUGUACUUAAAUGUUGAUCAGAAUAGGCUUGUAAUCUAUUUCUAUUCCUUUGAUAGAAUGAAGUGAGUUACAUACAUUAAAAGUGUACACGAAAAUAUUUCAAUCUUCCAAGAAGGUUCAAGCUAUUGUGCAUAGAUUUUGUUAUGCAUUGAAGAGUAAUAUUUUUUAAGAAACAUUGUUUUGCUGUUGAUUUUACAUAUAUCUUGCAUGUGAUAUUGAACAUUAUAAUUUUA